This 459-nucleotide ribosomal RNA is filed under the name uncultured bacterium. Its description in RNAcentral is "partial 16S ribosomal RNA". It matches the Rfam family "Bacterial small subunit ribosomal RNA", at positions 338 to 795 of the family's 1533-position model. The record is from RNAcentral.
CCUACGGGUGGCAGCAGUGAGGAAUAUUGGUCAAUGGCCGAGAGGCUGAACCAGCCAAGUCGCGUGAGGGAAGACGGCCCUCCGGGUUGUAAACCUCUUUUGUCGGGGAGCAAAGCGAACCACGUGUGGUUCAUUGAGAGUACCCGAAGAAAACGCCUCGGCUAACUCCGUGCCAGCACCCGCGGUAAUACGGAGGAUGCGAGCGUUAUCCGGAUUUAUUGGGGUUAAAGGGUGCGCAGGGGGAGGUGCAAGUCAGCGGUCAAAUUGCGGGGCUCAACCCCGUACUGCCGUUGAAACUGCAGCCCUUGAGUGCGCGAGAGGUAGGCGGAAUGCGUGGUGUAGCGGUGAAAUGCAUAGAUAUCACGCAGAACACCGAUUGCGAAGGCAGCAUACCGGCGCGCAACUGACGCUGAUGCACGAAAGCGUGGGUAUCGAACAGGAUUAGAUACCCCUGUAGUC